Molecule: small RNA, 303 nt
Filed under: Histoplasma capsulatum
Lineage: Eukaryota; Fungi; Ascomycota; Eurotiomycetes; Onygenales; Ajellomycetaceae
Also listed under: 1 other name
Description: hypothetical RNA
Source: RNAcentral
UAAUAGGUAUGAAUGACUUUAGGUGAAUUAGAUGGCUUAAUAAAGUGUUUUCCUUGGAGAGUGCUUUAUUGUUUUAAAUAAUAUAGUUUUGUUUUAAAAGUAAAUGAUAUCUCGCGUGAGGUUUCAUCUCCAGUGGGAAUAGAACAGACCAUGGUGGCAUAACAACGAGAAUAGCCGUCAGAGAACAUGAUUAUUCAUAAUUGUGACGACUCUAUCUCUGCUUCCUCCAUGUCUUCAUCUCCGUCCAUGUAUCCAACCCCCUCUCCUUCCUCUUCAUCAUCCCAUCCUUCAUUGUCCUGCCCC